This 434-nucleotide ribosomal RNA is filed under the name uncultured bacterium. Its description in RNAcentral is "partial 16S ribosomal RNA". It matches the Rfam family "Bacterial small subunit ribosomal RNA", at positions 29 to 507 of the family's 1533-position model. The record is from RNAcentral.
AGCGAACGCUGGCGGCAGGCCUAACACAUGCAAGUCGAACGAACCUUUCGGGGUUAGUGGCGGACGGGUGAGUAACACGUGGGAACGUGCCUUUAGGUUCGGAAUAACUCAGGGAAACUUGUGCUAAUACCGAAUGUGCCCUUCGGGGGAAAGAUUUAUCGCCUUUAGAGCGGCCCGCGUCUGAUUAGCUAGUUGGUUGAGGUAAUGGCUCACCAAGGCGACGAUCAGUAGCUGGGCUGAGAGGAUGAUCAGCCACAUUGGGACUGAGACACGGCCCAAACUCCUACGGGAGGGAGCAGUGGGGAAUCUUGCGCAAUGGGCGAAAGCCUGACGCAGCCAUGCCGGGUGAAUGAUGAAGGUCUUAGGAUUGUAAAAUUCUUUCACCGGGGACGAUAAUGACGGUACCCGGAGAAGAAGCCCCGGCUAACUUCGUG